RNAcentral lists this small nuclear RNA (104 nucleotides) under Cotesia glomerata. Lineage: Eukaryota; Metazoa; Arthropoda; Insecta; Hymenoptera; Braconidae. The record is from RNAcentral.
UGAAGAGUCUUUUGUAAUGUACUAAAAUUGGAACGAUACAGAGAAGAUUAGCAUGGCCUCUGCGCAAAGAUGACACGCAAAAUCGUGAAGCGUUCCAUAUUUUU